Dermochelys coriacea (leatherback sea turtle) is the source of this 973-nucleotide long non-coding RNA. RefSeq lists it as uncharacterized. The transcript is spliced from 3 exons. Lineage: Eukaryota; Metazoa; Chordata; Testudines; Dermochelyidae. The record is from RefSeq and is a predicted model, not a curated record.
GGAUUAAUAGGCUACUGAAGGCCCAAUUAGCCCAAAUUGUGACAGCUGGAGCAUGAGGCAGGCUUUCAGGGAGGGGCUUAAAAAGAAGACCUCUGGUGGGGAGGGAGAGAGAGAGAGUGUGCAGGAGCUCUCAUUCUGGAUCAUAAGGUUGGCUGGAGCCUGGGGAAGACUAACACCUACUAGAAUUCCCAGAGGAAAGGGGAGAGUUUGUUUUAUGUUGCUUCAUGCUUGUUUUGGCCUUUGAGUGCCCUACAAGAGAAGAACUAAAGUAUGCUGACCGUAAAUGGUUGUUCACUGCAGUGCUGUGAUUGUUGAGGGCAUUUCUGGAGGUUCCUGAUUCAUUAUAUAAAAAGAAAUGCAGAAACCACCUUGACGAGAGAGCUGUUCCCCAUUGCAUUUUACUAAGAUUCUACAAUAAGAUGAUACAAGACAGAAAGGAUUUCUUUACUGAAGUAUGUUUGACUAUCAUUUCUGCAGAAUACACCCUGACAACUUAUCACAAAAGUCCUUGAUAAUCACUUAUUUCUCAAUGACUUUGUUCAGAUCUUUCAAAAAGCAAAUAAAUCAAGGAACUGUAAACAGACAGUGCUUUAAUGUUGCAUUUUUUGUGUACCACAAACUCCCCUGGAGUUUUGGGUACAGAAAGAAAAGCACAAUUUCGGCUGUUCAUUUUCAAUGCUUCUGAGAGUUUGCUUUAAGAAUUGUGUAGUCCUUUCAAUUUUCUCAUCCUUGGAUACAGCCAGUAAUUUAUCCAAGGGGACUCUGUAUCUUAUUUCUGAAAGAACAAUAGAUAGUGAAAUGCUGUUAUAGGAAACUACUUAGAAAUAAAUCUUUUUAUGAGUGACCUUCAGUAAGCAGAGGCAAUCUUAAUAUAUUGAAAAUGUAUAGAAGAGGGAGCCACUAUUAUUGACUGCUGUUCAUUGCAUACAGCUUUAAUUCUAGAAAAAUUAAAGUCCAGCUUCCACCUGUGGAA